Petromyzon marinus (sea lamprey) is the source of this 512-nucleotide non-coding RNA. Lineage: Eukaryota; Metazoa; Chordata; Hyperoartia; Petromyzontiformes; Petromyzontidae. The record is from RefSeq and is a predicted model, not a curated record.
UUAAGUGAAACAAAUUAUGUAACCACACCAACUGUCCACUUAAAUCAAUGGUAACCUAGUAGUAUUGUAUUUAUUCACAGGUGGUACCAAAACAAAGAGCAAUGGAAUCAGUGUGCCACGUGUUGAUGUGGUGUCAAAUGGAAUUCAGAGUGACACAUUGAAACUCAUCCAAGAGAAUAAGGAUACAUUCAAGCAAUGGAUUGGAGCAAAUCCAUCGCACCUGAUAAAAUAUUUCAAAGAAUCACAUUCUAUUCCACACGAAGUUUGCCAAGCAGCCAAGAACAAGCAUGGAGAGGAGUGUGUGGAUGUUAUACUAGAUCACUUCUUUAACCAAGAAGAGACGGCGUUGUGGGAACUGUGGAAAGGUCUCUAUUAUGUGAGGAGGAACUACGAGCCACUAAAGAGCUGGUUUCAGAAGCACGGUGAGUCCGUGCGGUCCAUUAAAGAGAAGAAGUUGGAUCUGAAGUUGUGGAUCGGUAGAGACUUCCAACAUCUGCGAUCACAGCUGACGC